CUGCCAGCACCUAAAGGUUCCAUGACUUUUGCUUCCAACCGAGGGAAAGGAAAAGCAAAAAUAGAGAAGGCACAUCUGCUUCUUAAUCAACUUGGCUUGGGAGUGGAACACCCCUAUUCAUAUUCCAUUUACAGGAGCUAAUCUCAUGGUGGGAACUGCAGUGGCUGAGCAGCAGCAUCUUAGCAGAUACUGUGCUUUAUGAAAGCCACAAAACCCACUGCCUACCACCAACUGGAAAACACAUUGACCAGGCCUAGUCAUUCAGAGUGGACUGGACCAUUCUUCCAACAGCAGCAAUAGUCUCAUGAACCAAUCGGAGUCAAUUAGGGUUCUCCAUGGGGUUUAACACCUUGAAGGAUGUAAACAGAGGGCUGCCAGCAGUCAUAAUGCCUUUCAUAAGAACAAGAAGGCCUCGUUCGUUAGAAAGGAAGCCUCAGAGACCAUAGGAAAAGACCUAGCUCAAUGUUACUUUAUUUUAUUUUCUCAUCUUCAUCUAUCACACAUUGACCUAGCCCAAUAUUACCUUAUUUUAUUUUCUCAUCUUCAUCUAUCACACUCAUUCUUACUUAUAAUUUCCCCUGUCAGAUUCCUAAAGAAUGGGCAGCAAGAAGAGAAAGGAGCUAAUUAACAAUGAGGAAAGUGUAUGAACAAUGGAGCAAGCAUGUGACAGAAGACAUUGGCAUGGCUGGGUGACAGGGAGGACCAAGGGAGGGAAGGCAAAAUUGCUCAAAAAAAUGUAGCUAAAUUAGGAAAUGUCUUUAAAGCUGGACUUUAAGAUUUUUGGCAAAAGUAGUAAUGUGGACUCCUAAAACAAACAAGAAUCAUAAAACUUUUGAGUUAAAAUGUCACAUAGAGAUCAUUUUAUCACCCAAAUGUCG
This 878-nucleotide long non-coding RNA is filed under the name Homo sapiens (human). Its description in RNAcentral is "HSALNT0348372". Lineage: Eukaryota; Metazoa; Chordata; Mammalia; Primates; Hominidae. The record is from RNAcentral.